GACGAACGCUGGCGGCGUGCUUAACACAUGCAAGUCGAACGCUGAAGCUUGGUGCUUGCACUGGGUGGAUGAGUGGCGAACGGGUGAGUAAUACGUGAGUAACCUGCCCUUGACUCUGGGAUAAGCCUGUGAAACUGGGUCUAAUACUGGAUAUGACAUGCCACUGCAUGGUGGUGUGUGGAAAGGGUUUUACUGGUUUUGGAUGGGCUCACGGCCUAUCAGCUUGUUGGUGGGGUAAUGGCCUACCAAGGCGACGACGGGUAGCCGGCCUGAGAGGGUGACCGGCCACACUGGGACUGAGACACGGCCCAGACUCCUACGGGAGGCAGCAGUGGGGAAUAUUGCACAAUGGGCGGAAGCCUGAUGCAGCGACGCCGCGUGAGGGAUGACGGCCUUCGGGUUGUAAACCUCUUUCAGCACGGAAGAAGCGAGAGUGACGGUACGUGCAGAAGAAGCGCCGGCUAACUACGUG
RNAcentral lists this ribosomal RNA (472 nucleotides) under uncultured bacterium. RNAcentral describes it as "partial 16S ribosomal RNA". It matches the Rfam family "Bacterial small subunit ribosomal RNA", at positions 28 to 507 of the family's 1533-position model. The record is from RNAcentral.